UACGUAGGUGGCAAGCGUUGUCCGGAAUUAUUGGGCGUAAAGCGCGCGCAGGCGGUCCUUUAAGUCUGAUGUGAAAGCCCACGGCUCAACCGUGGAGGGUCAUUGGAAACUGGGGGGACUUGAGUACAGAAGAGAAGAGUGGAAUUCCACGUGUAGCGGUGAAAUGCGUAGAGAUGUGGAGGAACACCAGUGGCGAAGGCGGCCCCCCUGGGCCGUACCUGACGCUGAGGAGCGAAAGCGUGGGGAGCGAACAGG
Molecule: ribosomal RNA, 255 nt
Filed under: uncultured bacterium
Lineage: Bacteria
Description: partial 16S ribosomal RNA
Rfam family: Bacterial small subunit ribosomal RNA
Source: RNAcentral